Molecule: ribosomal RNA, 434 nt
Filed under: uncultured Lachnospiraceae bacterium
Lineage: Bacteria; Bacillati; Bacillota; Clostridia; Lachnospirales; Lachnospiraceae
Description: bacterial SSU rRNA
Rfam family: Bacterial small subunit ribosomal RNA
Source: RNAcentral
ACGGAAGGCAGCAGUGGGGAAUAUUGGACAAUGGGGGAAACCCUGAUCCAGCGACGCCGCGUGAGUGAAGAAGUAUUUCGGUAUGUAAAGCUCUAUCAGCAGGGGAGAUGAUGACGGUACCUGACUAAGAAGCCCCGGCUAACUACGUGCCAGCAGCCGCGGUAAUACGUAGGGGGCAAGCGUUAUCCGGAUUUACUGGGUGUAAAGGGAGCGUAGACGGCAUGGUAAGUCUGAAGUGAAAUCCCGGGGCUCAACCCCGGAAUUGCUUUGGAAACUAUCAAGCUAGAGUGCAGGAGAGGUAAGUGGAAUUCCUAGUGUAGCGGUGAAAUGCGUAGGUAUUAGGAGGAACACCAGUGGCGAAGGCGGCUUACUGGACUGUAACUGACGUUGAGGCUCGAAAGCGUGGGGAGCAAACAGGAUUAGAUACCCUGGUA